GCUCUGGUGGCCCAGUGGUAACUCUCCUGCCUGCAGUGUGGGCGACCCAGGUUCGAAACCUGUCAUCGGUGCU
Gymnothorax javanicus (giant moray) is the source of this 73-nucleotide non-coding RNA. The record is from the annotation of a GenBank genome assembly. NCBI's taxonomy places the organism in Eukaryota, Metazoa, Chordata, Actinopteri, Anguilliformes, Muraenidae.